GUGGGGAAUAUUGGACAAUGGGCGAAAGCCUGAUCCAGCCAUGCCGCGUGUGUGAAGAAGGUCUUCGGAUUGUAAAGCACUUUAAGUUGGGAGGAAGGGCAGUAAGUUAAUACCUUGCUGUUUUGACGUUACCAACAGAAUAAGCACCGGCUAACUUCGUGCCAGCAGCCGCGGUAAUACGAAGGGUGCAAGCGUUAAUCGGAAUUACUGGGCGUAAAGCGCGCGUAGGUGGUUCAGCAAGUUGGAGGUGAAAUCCCCGGGCUCAACCUGGGAACUGCCUCCAAAACUAAAUGACUAGAGUACGGUAGAGGGUAGUGGAAUUUCCUGUGUAGCGGUGAAAUGCGUAGAUAUAGGAAGGAACACCAGUGGCGAAGGCGACUACCUGGACUGAUACUGACACUGAGGUGCGAAAGCGUGGGGAGCAAACAGGAUUAGAAACCCGGGUAGUCC
This 450-nucleotide ribosomal RNA is filed under the name uncultured bacterium. RNAcentral describes it as "partial 16S ribosomal RNA". It matches the Rfam family "Bacterial small subunit ribosomal RNA", at positions 354 to 796 of the family's 1533-position model. The record is from RNAcentral.